Molecule: non-coding RNA, 67 nt
Organism: Podarcis lilfordi (Lilford's wall lizard)
Lineage: Eukaryota; Metazoa; Chordata; Lepidosauria; Squamata; Lacertidae
Source: the annotation of a GenBank genome assembly
UCUCUCUCUCUCUCUCUCUCUCUCUGGUUGUGUGUGUGUGUGUGAGAGAGAGAGAGACAGAGAGAGA